This 468-nucleotide ribosomal RNA is filed under the name uncultured bacterium. RNAcentral's name for it is "partial 16S ribosomal RNA". It matches the Rfam family "Bacterial small subunit ribosomal RNA", at positions 28 to 507 of the family's 1533-position model. The record is from RNAcentral.
GACGAACGCUGGCGGCGUGCUUAACACAUGCAAGUCGAACGGAAAGGCCCUGCUUUUGUGGGGUGCUCGAGUGGCGAACGGGUGAGUAACACGUGAGUAACCUGCCCUUGACUUUGGGAUAACUUCAGGAAACUGGGGCUCAUACCGGAUAGGAGCUCCUGCUGCAUGGUGGGGGUUGGAAAGUUUCGGCGGUUGGGGAUGGACUCGCGGCUUAUCAGCUUGUUGGGGGGGUAGUGGCUUACCAAGGCUUUGACGGGUAGCCGGCCUGAGCGGGUGACCGGCCACAUUGGGACUGAGAUACGGCACAGACCCCUACGGGAGGCAGCAGUGGGGAAUAUUGCACUAUGGGCGGAGGCCUGAUGCAGCAACGCCGCGUGCGGUAUGACGGCCUGCGGGUUGUAAACCGCUUUCGCCUGUGACGAAGCGUGAGUGACGGUAAUGGGUAAAGAAGCACCGGCUAACUACGUG